This 69-nucleotide transfer RNA is filed under the name Diaphorina citri (Asian citrus psyllid). It matches the Rfam family "tRNA". From Rfam's summary of the family: Transfer RNA (tRNA) molecules are approximately 80 nucleotides in length. Their secondary structure includes four short double-helical elements and three loops (D, anti-codon, and T loops). Further hydrogen bonds mediate the characteristic L-shaped molecular structure. tRNAs have two regions of fundamental functional importance: the anti-codon, which is responsible for specific mRNA codon recognition, and the 3' end, to which the tRNAs corresponding amino acid is attached (by aminoacyl-tRNA synthetases). tRNAs cope with the degeneracy of the genetic code in two manners: having more than one tRNA (with a specific anti-codon) for a particular amino acid; and 'wobble' base-pairing, i.e. permitting non-standard base-pairing at the 3rd anti-codon position. Lineage: Eukaryota; Metazoa; Arthropoda; Insecta; Hemiptera; Psyllidae. The record is from Rfam by way of RNAcentral.
GCCUAGCUUAGUUGGUAGCGCGUCUGCCUUGUAAGCGCUAGGCCGCGGGUUCGAUUCCCGCCCGGGGCG